RNAcentral lists this ribosomal RNA (497 nucleotides) under uncultured bacterium. Its description in RNAcentral is "partial 16S ribosomal RNA". It matches the Rfam family "Bacterial small subunit ribosomal RNA", at positions 28 to 507 of the family's 1533-position model. The record is from RNAcentral.
GAUGAGCGCUGGCGGCGUGCCUAAUACAUGCCAGUAGAACGCUGAAGGAAGGAGCUUGCUCUUUCCGGAUGAGUUGCGAACGGGUGAGUAACGCGUAGGUAACCUGCCUGGUAGCGGGGGAUAACUAUUGGAAACGAUAGCUAAUACCGCAUAACAGUAGAUGUUGCAUGAUAUCUACUUAAAAGGUGCAAUCGCACCACUACCAGAUGGACCUGCGUUGUAUUAGCUAGUUGGUGAGGUAACGGCUCACCAAGGCGACGAUACAUAGCCGACCUGAGAGGGUGAUCGGCCACACUGGGACUGAGACACGGCCCAGACUCCUACGGGAGGCAGCAGUAGGGAAUCUUCGGCAAUGGACGGAAGUCUGACCGAGCAACGCCGCGUGAGUGAAGAAGGUUUUCGGAUCGUAAAGCUCUGUUGUAAGAGAAGAACGAGUGUGAGAGUGGAAAGUUCACACUGUGACGGUAUCUUACCAGAAAGGGACGGCUAACUACGUG